GAUGAACGCUAGCGGCAGGCUUAACACAUGCAAGUCGAGGGGUAUAGUUCUUCGGAACUAGAGACCGGCGCACGGGUGCGUAACGCGUAUGUAAUCUACCUUUUACAGGGGGAUAGCCCAGAGAAAUUUGGAUUAAUACCCCAUAGUAUGUUGUGGUGGCAUCACUAUAGCAUUAAAGUUCCAACGGUAAAAGAUGAGCAUGCGUCCCAUUAGCUAGAUGGUAAGGUAACGGCUUACCAUGGCUACGAUGGGUAGGGGUCCUGAGAGGGAGAUCCCCCACACUGGUACUGAGACACGGACCAGACUCCUACGGGAGGCAGCAGUGAGGAAUAUUGGACAAUGGGCGCAAGCCUGAUCCAGCCAUGCCGCGUGCAGGAUGACGGUCCUAUGGAUUGUAAACUGCUUUUGUACAGGAAGAAACACUCCCUCGUGAGGGAGCUUGACGGUACUGUAAGAAUAAGGAUCGGCUGACUCCGUGCCAGCAGCCGCCGUAA
Molecule: ribosomal RNA, 494 nt
Filed under: uncultured bacterium
Lineage: Bacteria
Description: partial 16S ribosomal RNA
Rfam family: Bacterial small subunit ribosomal RNA
Source: RNAcentral